AAUAAGCUAUUCUUAUCGUAUUCUAUAAGAACUCUAUAAGAACAGGAUAAGGCAUAAAGGGCCCGAUUUUUAUUCCGAUAUGUACGCGUAGGAUCUUCUUAUUGAACAAUAUAAGAACACUAUAAGUAUAAUUUAAGGCUCCACUAAGAACAUCAGCAACCGCCGGAAAAGAAUGAAAAAUAUUUUGAGAAUAUUUUAAGAACAUUAAAAAUGAAAAGCCUUAGAGAAUAUAUUAAGAACAAGUACAGAAUAUAGGCCUCUAUUCUUUGCGUAUUCUUAUAUUUGAAUACAGUAAGAACAUUACAGAUACACUAAGAAUUAAAUUCGAAUAAGGUUUAAGCUAAGAAGACGGUAGGAAUAGUUAUGCUAGCUGGGUUAUCGCUUCAAUAUCAUCUCAUAUCGCACGACGUUUUCCAUCCAACCAAUUAAUUUAGCCACAGUUGUGGAAUAGAAUCAACCACAUAUUUUUUCAUGUCUUUGGUACAUUUGGGUAUCAAACAUUUGAAAUUUGUCCCGUCGUUAUCGUGGGGUUGAAAAAACAACAACUGCGCGACGAAAUGCCGGAAGAAAAAAAUGUUCUGAAUUGAACAAUGAAGAAAAAGACAUUUUGCUUGAAAUCUUAUUGUAGCAGUCAAGGUUGACUAGUUGAUAGUUGCCUUUGACUAUGAAAAACAGCGAGAUAAUCGCCGUGUUGAUUCGAAUAAGUCGAUAAAUUCAUGAUAAUAAUGAAGCGUAUAGUAUUUCCGUUUCAAUUUAUUGGUUUAAAUUACGUAACGAAUGAUAUUAUUGAUUGAAUGGGUUAAAUUAACUCGUUAUUUUAAUAUCUGGAAAGUUCGAUUAUUUCACGUAUGUUUGGAUGUAAGCCCUGGUGGGUAAGCGUUAACGUUUCCAGUAAACUAAAUUACGUCCAAUCUGAAACUACGUAUAUAUCGUCGUUGAAAAAUGUAGGUGCACUAAGAAUUUUUAAAUAAAGAUUUAAAAAAAAAAUCAAAAUUUAUUAAAAGUAGAUGAGUUAAGUAAAAAUUUAGUAAAAAUUAUAGAUAAGUAAAAUGUAUUAAAAGUAAAAGAUAAGUCACCAAUGUCAGCUGCAGUUCAUUCAGUUCAUGCUGUAGAAAAAUACUAUCAAUCAAUUUUCCAAUGAGCCGAAACCAAAUCCAUGGAAACAUUUGAAGAAAGUUGCCAAUUCAACUGAAAUCAUCCGAAAAAUCCGGCACCAAAGAGCAUUGCUAAUCGAAAUAAGUAUGUUCCUCAUCAAAAUAUACGAACCCAUUGCGCUAUUGGCAAUAUAUACCAUCGGUGAACGCGAGGCUCAGAAGAAGACCGCGCUAGUCAAAUGCCAAACAUUCAUCAAAUAUCCGUUGAAUCUACGACGAAAGACGAAAAAGCAAGAAGAAAAUGAAACUGAUUCUUUGGCCUGGACGACAAUAUCAAUUCGAUCACAUUUCCUUCAUCGUGCUCACUCGAGUGGUGGAACGACUCAGGUGUGGAUCAAAAGUCAAAUACGUUUCAUUGCAUUUUCAUCGGUAGAGGCAUAUUGGGCGAACAGCCAAGCUUAGCAGCCAUGGUUUUGGAAUAAAUUGAGCUCAGACUCACCAAUAACCAAGAGAGGAAUAAGAGUAAUCGUCGACCACAAUUCACCGUAUCAAUUAGAAAAAGAAAGGUGAAUGCACUUCAAAAUGCUUGGCCACUGAUCUUUGCUUCCUCUUCGAACAAGGUUUUGCUUCUUUCAAUGAGCAUUUGUAUCAAACUACUCGGAUCGAUCAUGGAAGAGCUAGCAAUUUAACAGCUUGGCAUAUCUCUUGAUGAUCCAAUGUGAAAAAAAACUUCUGCAUAUCAAUUUAAUUUCUGUUUGAAAUCAACAAAAAAGACGAUUUUCAUCAACUACACCAUUAGAUGGAAAUAUUGACUACCUUAGGGACAUUUGUGGCCUUAUUUACAUAGCCUUAUCAUACUUUACAUAAUAUGUUUAUUUUGAUUGGAUCUUCGUAAGUAUUGGUAUUCAAAUUUCAAUAAAUUUCAAACAAAUAUGAACAAACUCAAUCAAAUUUGCCGGAUUAGUCACCAUAGUCGAAGAAUUUGUACAAGGGAACAACAGUAAAUUUAUCUAAUUUUGGCAGCAAUAUCAUUUAGGGCAAUUUGAGUAAGAAAAACGAUAAUAAUGACCUAAUUUGUUAUGUUGAUAAAUUUUGUAAUGAGUAGAUUUAAGAAUUGAUUCUCAGACGGUUAGAGAAUAGUACCUACUAUCAACUUGUAUCUUUGGGUUGAAAAAUAAAAUCGUUGAACUUAAAGUA
Long non-coding RNA from Sitodiplosis mosellana (orange wheat blossom midge), 2291 nucleotides. RefSeq lists it as uncharacterized. The record is from RefSeq and is a predicted model, not a curated record. Lineage: Eukaryota; Metazoa; Arthropoda; Insecta; Diptera; Cecidomyiidae. The transcript has 3 exons.